AAGAACCGGGCGAAUCGCCUCGACGGUCCU
This 30-nucleotide small RNA is filed under the name Bombyx mori (domestic silkworm). RNAcentral's name for it is "ovarian small RNA-4259". The record is from RNAcentral. Lineage: Eukaryota; Metazoa; Arthropoda; Insecta; Lepidoptera; Bombycidae.